UUACCCUUUUUACCAACACUAAUAACAGUGUAAUCAAUACCAAGAUUCUUCAACUCAGCAAUUCUAGCCUCAGCCUUUUUCAAUAUUGCAUUUGAUCUUUUGUGUGUUCUUGACAGAAUCAAUACGGGUUCUAAGCUCUCUGAGGCCACACUGAAGAGGGGUGACAGAAGAACGUGAAGGGGUGGGAGAGGAUAAAGAAGAGUUUUGUGAAGGAAGCUGAAAAUGGUUCAAAGCAGAACGAAAUGAGAGGUUAGAUGCAUCAGAUAGUGAAGGUUUGGAAGACACCAACAUGGUGAUGUUGGAGCAAGACAUUGUUUUUUGUUGUUAUUGUUGUUAUGUUUUUGGGGUUUGUGAGGUCUUAUCUACUUCUCAUGUCAAAGGUAUUUGUGUGUGGUUGUGAUUGAAUGAGUGGAGGGAAAUAGAGGAGUGGAUGAGGUUUUGGGAUAACGAUUUUAACUGUUGGAGAUAGCAGAUUU
Non-coding RNA from Lupinus albus (white lupine), 476 nucleotides. The record is from the annotation of a GenBank genome assembly. Lineage: Eukaryota; Viridiplantae; Streptophyta; Magnoliopsida; Fabales; Fabaceae.